AACGAACGCUGGCGGCGCGCCUAAUACAUGCAAGUCGAGCGAGAAGACGUAGCAAUACGUUUGUAAAGCGGCGAACGGGUGAGGAAUACAUGGGUAACCUACCCUCGAGUGGGGAAUAACUAGCCGAAAGGUUAGCUAAUACCGCGUACGCUCCUUGGACUUCGGUUCAGGGAGGAAAGCGAUAUCGUGGGUAUCGCGCUCUUGGAUGGGCUCAUGUCCUAUCAGCUUGUUGGUGAGGUAACGGCUCACCAAGGCUUCGACGGGUAGCUGGUCUGAGAGGACGGUCAGCCACACUGGCACUGCGACACGGGCCAGACUCCUACGGGAGCAGCAGUAAGGAUAUUGCGCAAUGGGCGAAAGCCUGACGCAGCGACGCCGCGUGGGGGAUGAAGGUCUUCGGAUUGUAAACCCCUUUCGGGAGGGAAGAUGGAACGAGCAAUCGUUCGGACGGUACCUCCAGAAGCAGCCACGGCUAACUUCGU
This 482-nucleotide ribosomal RNA is filed under the name uncultured bacterium. RNAcentral describes it as "bacterial SSU rRNA". It matches the Rfam family "Bacterial small subunit ribosomal RNA", at positions 29 to 506 of the family's 1533-position model. The record is from RNAcentral.